RNAcentral lists this non-coding RNA (30 nucleotides) under Rattus norvegicus (Norway rat). The record is from RNAcentral. Lineage: Eukaryota; Metazoa; Chordata; Mammalia; Rodentia; Muridae.
UUCUGCCAAUUGGUGGCUAUUGUCCCAGAA